This 303-nucleotide ribosomal RNA is filed under the name uncultured bacterium. Its description in RNAcentral is "partial 16S ribosomal RNA". It matches the Rfam family "Bacterial small subunit ribosomal RNA", at positions 507 to 808 of the family's 1533-position model. The record is from RNAcentral.
AGCAGUAGCCGCGGGAAUACGUAGGUCCCGAGCGUUGUCCGGAUUUAUUGGGCGUAAAGCGAGCGCAGGCGGUUAGAUAAGUCUGAAGUUAAAGGCUGUGGCUUAACCAUAGUACGCUUUGGAAACUGUUUAACUUGAGUGCAAGAGGGGAGAGUGGAAUUCCAUGUGUAGCGGUGAAAUGCGUAGAUAUAUGGAGGAACACCGGUGGCGAAAGCGGCUCUCUGGCUUGUAACUGACGCUGAGGCUCGAAAGCGUGGGGAGCGAACAGGAUUAGAUACCCCUGUAGUCCCUGUCUCUUAUACA